GCGGGGAUGCCAGAGUGGUCAAAUGGGCUUGGCUUAGGACCAAGUAGCUUAGUGCUUACACAGGUUCGAAUCCUGUUCCCCGCA
RNAcentral lists this transfer RNA (84 nucleotides) under archaeon. Its description in RNAcentral is "tRNA-Leu". It matches the Rfam family "tRNA". From Rfam's summary of the family: Transfer RNA (tRNA) molecules are approximately 80 nucleotides in length. Their secondary structure includes four short double-helical elements and three loops (D, anti-codon, and T loops). The record is from RNAcentral.